RNAcentral lists this ribosomal RNA (459 nucleotides) under uncultured bacterium. RNAcentral describes it as "partial 16S ribosomal RNA". It matches the Rfam family "Bacterial small subunit ribosomal RNA", at positions 338 to 795 of the family's 1533-position model. The record is from RNAcentral.
CCUACGGGUGGCAGCAGUGAGGAAUAUUGGUCAAUGGGCGAGAGCCUGAACCAGCCAAGUCGCGUGAGGGAAGACGGUCCUAUGGAUUGUAAACCUCUUUUGCCGGGGAGCAAAAAGCGGUACGCGUACCGCAUCGCGAGUACCCGGAGAAAAAGCAUCGGCUAACUCCGUGCCAGCCGCCGCGGGAAUACGGAGGAUGCGAGCGUUAUCCGGAUUUAUUGGGGUUAAAGGGAGCGCAGGCGGCGAGUUAAGUCAGCGGUAAAAUUUCGGGGCUCAACCCCGGCAAGCCGUUGAAACUGGCUUGCUAGAGUGGGCGAGAAGUAUGUGGAAUGCGAGGUGUAGCGGGGAAAUGCAUAGAUAUCACGCAGAACUCCGAUUGCGAAGGCAGCAUACCGGCGCCCAACUGACGCUCAGGCACGAAAGCGUGGGGAUCGAACAGGAUUAGAUACCCUUGUAGUC